GCUCUGGUAGCUCAGCGGUAGAGCAGUUGACUGUUAAUCAAUUGGUCGGUGGUUCGAUCCCACUCCGGAGCGCCA
Molecule: transfer RNA, 75 nt
Filed under: Mycoplasmataceae bacterium
Lineage: Bacteria; Bacillati; Mycoplasmatota; Mollicutes; Mycoplasmatales; Mycoplasmataceae
Also listed under: 1 other name
Description: tRNA-Asn
Rfam family: tRNA
About the family: Transfer RNA (tRNA) molecules are approximately 80 nucleotides in length. Their secondary structure includes four short double-helical elements and three loops (D, anti-codon, and T loops). Further hydrogen bonds mediate the characteristic L-shaped molecular structure. tRNAs have two regions of fundamental functional importance: the anti-codon, which is responsible for specific mRNA codon recognition, and the 3' end, to which the tRNAs corresponding amino acid is attached (by aminoacyl-tRNA synthetases). tRNAs cope with the degeneracy of the genetic code in two manners: having more than one tRNA (with a specific anti-codon) for a particular amino acid; and 'wobble' base-pairing, i.e. permitting non-standard base-pairing at the 3rd anti-codon position.
Source: RNAcentral